Molecule: ribosomal RNA, 220 nt
Filed under: Heracleum sp. type I
Lineage: Eukaryota; Viridiplantae; Streptophyta; Magnoliopsida; Apiales; Apiaceae
Also listed under: 1 other name
Description: partial 26S ribosomal RNA
Rfam family: Eukaryotic large subunit ribosomal RNA
Source: RNAcentral
GCCGACCAGCAGUAGGGGCCUUGAGCCCCCAAAGGCACGUGUCGUUGGCGUAGCCAGCGUGGCGGAUGUGCCACGUUGGUUGCCAUGAAUUUUAAUUCCCACCGAGCGGCGGGUAGAAUCCUUUGCAGACGACUUAAAUACGCGACGGGGUAUUGUAAGAGGCAGAGUGGCCUUGCUGCCACGAUCCUCUGAGAUUCAGCCCUACGUCGCUUAGAUUUGU